CGGGAUGUAGCGCAGUUUGGUAGCGCACUUCGUUCGGGACGAAGCUGUCGCAGGUUCGAAUCCUGUCAUCCCGA
RNAcentral lists this transfer RNA (74 nucleotides) under Anaerovibrio lipolyticus. It matches the Rfam family "tRNA". Rfam says of the family: Transfer RNA (tRNA) molecules are approximately 80 nucleotides in length. Their secondary structure includes four short double-helical elements and three loops (D, anti-codon, and T loops). Lineage: Bacteria; Bacillati; Bacillota; Negativicutes; Selenomonadales; Selenomonadaceae. The record is from Rfam by way of RNAcentral.